This 30-nucleotide non-coding RNA is filed under the name Mus musculus (house mouse). The record is from RNAcentral. Lineage: Eukaryota; Metazoa; Chordata; Mammalia; Rodentia; Muridae.
UGUAAACUCAGUUAUACAAUUUUUGUAGGU